Long non-coding RNA from Aethalodelphis obliquidens (Pacific white-sided dolphin), 6316 nucleotides. RefSeq lists it as uncharacterized. The record is from RefSeq and is a predicted model, not a curated record. The transcript is spliced from 2 exons. NCBI's taxonomy places the organism in Eukaryota, Metazoa, Chordata, Mammalia, Artiodactyla, Delphinidae.
GAUUAGAUGAUUAGAAACCACUACUACUGAACAGCUUGUAACUCAACAUAGGGAAAAUUACCUGCGGGUAAUAUCAGGGUAGUUAGAAGACUCUAGGAUCAGUGAAUCUAUACGAAAAACAUGCUAGUUUCUCCCCUUUACCACACUAAAGGCAAAACCUGCCCACAAAGUCCCACAGCCUUUUAUUAUGGGAGUAGGGGAGACUCUUGAAGGUAAAGCAGUGACCUGAACCAGCCGUCAAUACUGAACAAUCUAGAUCUUUAUUUAAAAAGAUGAAGACAAUGAUGAAAUACUGGAUAUUUGAGGAAAAUUAGCAGUGCUGAACAGAGGACUCAUACUAAAAUAAGCAGAGCAAAUAGCCCAGAAAUCAGUUAAUGUGAAAAAAAAAAAAGAAACUGAAAAUUUUUAGUUUCUAGAGAAAGGAACAGUGAAAAACAGUUAACGAUUAAAAAUUUGAUUUUGGCCCUUAGAGGCCAAAAAAUAUAGAGGGUACUAGAAUCCAGAGUGCUAAGUUGACUCCAAAGCUGUAAUCAGAACACUUGCUGACCUAGAUGCUUAUAUUUAAAGGUCACAUGCUUUUGAGGAGAGAGAUCUUUGGGCAUCCACUAGAUGGGAAGUUGGAAUUGAGGCCUCUGCAUGAGGCCGAGGCUCUUCAAGAUAAGUCUUUAAUGAAAGAGAGUCCAGAACAUGAAAUUUAACUUCCAGCAGAGAACAUCAGAGACAUUUUCUUCUCAUGGCAUUUGGGUGUGAGACUAAAAAGUAAGCCUGUCUUCAUGUGGGUUUGAGAUUCUAAUAUAUACUAUCUGUCUAGUUCAGGAAACUGCAGGCAGAGAAAAUUAUUUAAAAAUAGUCAAAUGUUGAUAGUGCUGCAAAGCAUCUAAUAGAAACAAAAGUUAAUACUCUUUAGGGGGAUGCACCUUCAAGAUAAGCCUUUUAGUAUGACUGUUGGUAAAGCAUGAAUGAAAUGCUUUGGAGAAAAUCAGCAAUCAUGAGCAAGAGUAAGCAGGAAAAACAGCAAAAUUAGACGUCUGUGAUAUUGAAAUUACUAGGUAAGAGUAUGGAAUAUAUAUAUAAAUGUUUAAAGAAAUAAAAUGGAGGAUUAAAAAACAUGAGCAAGAGACAAAAUGCUGUCAAGUACGAGGAAGAUUUGAAAAAGAAGAGAACUUUUAGAAAUUAAAAAUAUAAUAAUUGAAAUGGAAAAACAUUGAACGGCUUAAAUGGAUUAAACCCAGCUGAAGAGAGAAUUAAUGAACUUGAAGACAGAUUUGGAAAAACAGAUAUGGAAACAUGAAAGACGUGUUUAGAGUCAGAAGAAUAAACAUGUCUAAUAUAUGGGAAGUCGGAGUUCAGAAAAGGAGAACGAGGAGACUGACAGUCCAUAUCCAAAGAAGGAAUGAGAAUUUUCCAAAAUUAAAAAAUGUGAAUCAUUAGGCUGAAAAAACACAGUGAAUCCAGAAGAAGAAAAAUAACUGGAUAAUGUUAAGGACAAAGAGAAAAUAAAAGUAACCAGAAAUAGAUUAUCUGCAAAGGUAUAAAAUUAGACCAGUAGCAGACUUCUAAACUCCAACAAUAGAUGCUGUAAGUUGAGAAUUCAGCCUUCAAAUACUAAAAGAAUACAGAUACCAUCCUGGAAGUAACUAGCAAAAUCAUUCAAAAACAAGUGUUUUGAAAUAUAUUUUCAGACAUAUCAGAUUGGUAAAAAUUUAAAACUCUGACUAUAUUGUGUUGGUGAGCUUGUGUAGCAACAAGAACUCUUAGCUUGCAGAAGUAUAAACUAUUUUUCGAUAGUAAUUUAGCAAUAUCUAGUAAGUUUGAAUGCACAUUUCUCCAGUGACCCAGAAAUUCUACAUAUAUAUAUAUAUAUAUGAAUAUACCUUAUAUACCUUAGCAUUGUUUAUUGAUCUGUUUUGACCAUGACAUAAAUCAAAAUUUCAGGAAACAAAAUUUACUGUUACUGUGUACAGUACACUUUGAUCUAUCUCUGUGCCUUACUACUUUGUUCAUUUUCUUCCCUUUUCCCUUUACUCCUCACCACUCUUUUUUUAAAGCUUCCUGUGACCUUGACCUACUAACAUGAUUAUAUUGGUAGGUUGUAAGCUAUAGUUUGAAAAACACUCCCUUAAAGAAACUCACACAUAAGUGUAAUAAGGAUGUUCAUAACAGUAUUGUUUGUAAAAGUGAAAAACUGGAAGCAAUCUUAAGCCCUAAUAAAUGGAGAGUGUAUAAAUAAACUGUGGUAUAUCCAUGUAAAGGUGCAGAAGAAUAUAUAAAGUAUGAUAUAUGAAACUUAAAAAUGCAAAGCAAUACUAUGUAUAGCUUUAUGGAUAUACACAUAUAUAAAAUAUAUAAGGAAAUCCAUGGUAAUGAUAAACACCAAACUUAGGUUAUCUCUGGGAGGAAAAGAAAGGUAUUUCUCUUAUCUAGAUAGCACUUUUUUCUUAAGCUGGGGGGUGGAUACACAGCUGUUUAUUAAAUAAUAUCAUACACUCCUUCGUAUGUCUAAAAUAUUUCACAAUAUAUUUUUAAAAAAGAGAGGUAAUGAUAUUGACAGAUUGAGAUUUCUCUCAGGGAAUAGAGCAAAAAGAGUUGAAUGUUAUGGGAGAAAAGUUUGAGACCUAUAAAAUAGAUCCAAGAGAUCACUAUCUGUGAAAUAGGAAUUCCAGAAGUGAAAAAUACAUACUGCAAAAGCAGUAGACAAUGAAAUGGUAGAGUAAAAUUUUCCUGAGCUGAAGAAUGCCAUCAAAUAAGAUAUACUGAAAUCAAAUUUCUGGUAAAAUCAAAUAUUGGUCAAACUUUGAAUUCCAAGGAUCAAAAGAAAAUCAAGUUUCCAGAUAGAGUAAAUAGGCUCACCCUAAAGCAAAAGAAGUAUCAGAUUGGCAUCUGAGUUUUCUUAUGCAGCACUGGAUACUAAGGAACAGUAGAGAAAUUCCUGUAGGAUUCUAAGGUAUAAGUACUACGACCCUAAGGUUCUGUAUGCAACAAAAGUGUUUUAAAGUAUGAAGACAGAUAUAUAUUCUUUCCAAGGCAUUCUGAACUACAGCACUUAUGGAUAAAUGAAUAUAUUAUUUGGAAGUACUUAAGCAAAAUGAAAUGAAAUGAAAUGAUAAGUAAUGGCUUCUGUUCUGCACAUGAGAAUUCUGGAUGGAAAAAAGAAAGGUAUACAUUAAGCAUAGAUGAACAAAAUCAAACAACAAACCGAAACAGUCAAUGAAACUUAUGGUUAAGUCUAAAAAAUUGUUAAUAAUAUACUUUGAUGUACAUUUGAGGUAUAAUAUAACUAGAGAAAAUAUUCCUAAUAAAAUGGAAGCUAUGAAAAAAUGACAACUAGGAAAUAAGAUUUUAGAUGAUUUAAUAAUAAUAAAACCUGUUCUCUAGCAGGUUAUGAGUAGAGGGAGGAAAGUAAAAGAAUACUAUGCAUAGUUUGCUGUGCAAAGUAUUUCUAUUCAUAGAACUACAGAAGUGGAUACUUUUUACUUUACUUAUGAAGAAAUAUAGAUGGAAAUACAUGUUGAAAGUUUGAGGAGUCUUUUGUUAGAAGAUGGCAGAUGAUCAGUUCUCCCAACCUUCUCCAUAUUUGCUUGAAAUGACUAAAAAUGUCUUUUUUUUAAAAAAAUUAAGCCUAUAACAGCAUUGGGCAGCAAGAAAGGGUUACAUUGAUAUAGCAGAUUUUGGGGAAUUCCCUGAAGAUAGAAAGUAGAUGGAAUGAGAGGUGCAGAGAAACAAGAGCAGAGAAAAACCACAACUGAAAUUGAGAAGUUUUUCCUUGGUGGGCCUCAAGAAACUCCAUUUGUGUUGUUAACAGUUUCAAAGGAUUGAAGUGGUCUGUGGGGUAAUCAUCAGAGUAAUUAAUUUAAAAACUGCCUGUGCCAGCUGGACUCCGUUCUUCUUCAUUUGUACAGAAUGACUGUCAGCCAGGGAUAUUUGUCUCUAGGAUAGAGUCAUGGCUUCUGUUCUGCACAUGAUGAAUCUGGAGAAGGCUUCUGGUUGUGUGUGCUGGGGUUGGAGAGUAGCAAAGCAGAGUUUGAGAACACAAAGGGGAGGAAAGGGAAAAUGGUUCCACAUGUAUGAAAUACAAUAAAACACUCCACCCCGAAAGUAAAGUCUUCCUAUUGUUUGCUGUCUUGGAGGUUCCAGACCACAACCUGCUUUAUGACAACACAUUCUAAAUUAAAACCUCUUGAUAUGCUCUGCCCACUCACAUUCAUCCUGAAAUCAGCUCUCUCAUUCAGGGAAGAUUCCUUCAGAGAGGGACAGACCUACAGAUCUAUGAGAAACCCAGGUUAUUUAGAUAGCUCUGGAACACCAUUCACAAAUUUGGAAUACCAAUGAUUACCAGAACACCAACAAUAUCAAUAGAAAAUGAACUGAGAGAAAAAUUGACUCCUGGAAAAUGAGAAUGAUACAAGAAGUAGGUAGAACUUAAAUGUAAUUUGUAUCCUUAGAGAGAUUUAAGGGGAUAAAGCAGCUGAAAAAAUAAAUCAGGCUAUUCUGAAAGAAGCGAUCUGCAGAGUUCUCAGAAUCAAAAAAAUUGCUAAAAUAAAAAAUAUUCAAGGGAAGGGCUGAAAGUUGAAUUAAUGAUUUAGAAGUAAGGUUGAGGAAACAUCCUAGAACCCAAAGUUAAAAAGAUGGAGAUUGAAAUAUGAGCAUAUGUUUAAGUUACAUGGGGCAUGGAACCAGGUAUGUGUUCCAGGGAUGCCAGGGAGUGUUAUAUGAAUAUUACAAAAGGUGAGUUAGAUCAAUAUAUACAGAUGUGAAAAGAUGGUCAAGAUACAUACAGUGAAGAAGCAAGUUGUGAGAAUAGUAUGUUUAGUAUAUUUGUGAUCAGAAAUCAUAUGCAUGUUCAAAUAUGCAAAAGAAAGAUAAAAGGACAUGAAUGAUCUUUUGAGAAAAGGAUGGAGGGAUGAGAGAAUACUUUCCAUUUUUCUUAAAACAUAACGCUGUUUUAUAAGGAGCAUAUUUUUACUUAAAAAAUAGAGCAUUAAAAGUUAUGUUGAGGGGAAAGGAGAGCAACAUGAGGUUAGCAGCGGUUUCCUAAGCCAUUGAUUUACACAUAGUCUCAAGUCCAUAAUUUUCUCUGUAACAUACAACUUUUCUGUUAAUUCUUAGCAAGCGUCUCCUUCCCUCACUUCAUAGACUCUCAGAAGGGUAUUUUCACACACUUCUCUGAACCUUCUUUACCCAGAGUAUUGGGGUUGAGGUGGCUAAUUCCUUCAUUACAUGUGGAUUUUGUGAGAGAGGAUAUGUAUGUGGAGAAUACCUUAAAGUAAGGAUAUCUUCUAGAUAUUGCUUUAUUAAUAAAGGGUAGUAUCAAUCCAACAUCUUCUGUAGAAUGAGUCAGGAUGUAAAUAAAUUAAAAUAAUGAGUAGUAAAGGGAAAAAUAAGAAUUCUAUAUUCAAGAUUUUGAGUAUAUCCUGCUGGGAGUUUUUGGGUUGAGAGUAGGAAUUGGUCAAUAUUAGAACAUAUGAGUGUAAUCACAGAGGUGUGAAGUGGUGUUCUGGACCACCUGAAAGGCCCCAUCCUUUUUGUGAGGAGAUGGAUAUGAUCCUUGAUCUCAAUAUGCUACAUCUACUAUAAACUUCUGGACCCUCCGCCAUCAUUCAGGAUGCUUCUCUAGUGGUUGAAGAAGUGGAGGAUCACAUGGGAGAGUGCCUGAGGAUCCUUGCCUGGGACAAGUUGUGGGAAGAAAAGUCUUGCAGUGUGGGCACUAGGAAAAAGAGCUCUUUUAUUCCAUCUUGUCUUCCAGUCCGUUUUGAAUCAAGAAAUACUCAGUGAAAACUGCUUUGAGAAGAGUCUGUUUUGAAGAAGGAAAAAGAAAUACUGUUGAGAGAAGGCAUACAGACCAGAAGGGUGAUAGAAACAUGUGUUUUUGGUGUGUGUGUAACACCAACAGGACUUCAUAGAGAGAAAUGGAGAGCUAAGAAGGGAGAAAAUUAAGAAAUGACUGAAAUUUGUGGGGCCUGAUGGGAAAAUGCUGGCCAUCUACUAAUAUGGAAAGACAGUUGAUGCUUCAGUCCCAGGACUUUUUGUCUCUGCUGCACAGUUACCAUAAACUCUUCUCACAUUCAGAACUAUCCCUUUAUCCUCUGUGAAUGAUGGCACUCUUGCUUCUAUUUCAGCAGUGCUUCCAAGGAUGAAUGAAAACAUACAGUGUCUGCCAAAACCUAAAAAGUAUAGUUUAUUUAUCACUAGAGCUUUGUAAGCUACCCCUCCUGCGUUUUAAAAUUCUGUACUUUGCAGAACCGGCCAUUGUAGGGUGUUUUUUGUUUUUUGGGUUUUUUUGGUCAAUAAAUAUUAGAUUUUCAAGAUGAAGUAUAAU